RNAcentral lists this unclassified non-coding RNA (352 nucleotides) under soil metagenome. RNAcentral describes it as "partial contains 5.8S ribosomal RNA, internal transcribed spacer 2, and large subunit ribosomal RNA". The stretch from base 1 to 120 matches the Rfam family "5.8S ribosomal RNA", at positions 35 to 154 of the family's 154-position model. The record is from RNAcentral.
GAUGAAGAACGCAGCGAAAUGCGAUAAGUAAUGUGAAUUGCAGAAUUCAGUGAAUCAUCGAAUCUUUGAACGCACAUUGCGCCCGCCAGUAUUCUGGCGGGCAUGGCUGUUCGAGCGUCAUUACAACCCUCAGGCCCCCGGGCCUGGCGUUGGGGAUCGGCGGAGCCCCCCGUGGGCACACGCCGUCCCCCAAAUGCAGUGGCGGUCCCGCCGCAGCUUCCAUCGCGUAGUAGCUAACACCUCGCGACUGGAGAGCGGCGCGGCCACGCCGUAAAACACCCAACUCUUCUGAAGUUGACCUCGAAUCAGGUAGGAAUACCCGCUGAACUUAAGCAUAUCAAUAAGCGGAGGA